CCUACGGGGCGCAGCAGUGAGGAAUAUUGGUCAAUGGACGAGAGUCUGAACCAGCCAAGUAGCGUGAAGGAUGACUGCCCUAUGGGUUGUAAACUUCUUUUAUAUGGGAAUAAAAUGUUCCACGUGUGGGAUUUUGUAUGUACCAUAUGAAUAAGGAUCGGCUAACUCCGUGCCAGCAGCCGCGGUAAUACGGAGGAUCCGAGCGUUAUCCGGCUUUAUUGGGUUUAAAGGGAGCGUAGGUGGAUUGUUAAGUCAGUUGUGAAAGUUUGCGGCUCAACCGUAAAAUUGCAGUUGAAACUGGCAGUCUUGAGUACAGUAGAGGUGAGCGGAAUUCGUGGUGUAGCGGUGAAAUGCUUAGAUAUCACGAAGAACUCCGAUUGCGAAGGCAGUUCACUGGACUGCAACUGACACUGAGGCUCGAAAGUGUGGGUAUCAAACAGGAUUAGAUACCCCGGUAGUC
Molecule: ribosomal RNA, 460 nt
Filed under: uncultured bacterium
Lineage: Bacteria
Description: partial 16S ribosomal RNA
Rfam family: Bacterial small subunit ribosomal RNA
Source: RNAcentral